GGCGAGGGGAGUGAAAAAGAACCUGAAACCGUGUACGUACAAGCAGUGGGAGCACCCUGUGUGACUGCGUACCUUUUGUAUAAUGGGUCAGCGACUUAUAUUCUGUAGCAAGGUUAACCGAAUAGGGGAGCCGGAGGGAAACCGAGUCUUAACUGGGCGUUAAGUUGCAGGGUAUAGACCCGAAACCCGGUGAUCUAGCCAUGGGCAGGUUGAAGGUUGGGUAACACUAACUGGAGGACCGAACCGACUAAUGUUGAAAAA
This 261-nucleotide ribosomal RNA is filed under the name Salmonella enterica subsp. enterica serovar Lubbock. RNAcentral describes it as "partial 23S ribosomal RNA". It matches the Rfam family "Bacterial large subunit ribosomal RNA", at positions 528 to 796 of the family's 2925-position model. Lineage: Bacteria; Pseudomonadati; Pseudomonadota; Gammaproteobacteria; Enterobacterales; Enterobacteriaceae. The record is from RNAcentral.